Molecule: ribosomal RNA, 484 nt
Filed under: Pseudomonas aeruginosa
Lineage: Bacteria; Pseudomonadati; Pseudomonadota; Gammaproteobacteria; Pseudomonadales; Pseudomonadaceae
Also listed under: 1 other name
Description: bacterial SSU rRNA
Rfam family: Bacterial small subunit ribosomal RNA
Source: RNAcentral
GAUUGAACGCUGGCGGCAGGCCUAACACAUGCAAGUCGAGCGGAUGAAGGGAGCUUGCUCCUGGAUUCAGCGGCGGACGGGUGAGUAAUGCCUAGGAAUCUGCCUGGUAGUGGGGGAUAACGUCCGGAAACGGGCGCUAAUACCGCAUACGUCCUGAGGGAGAAAGUGGGGGAUCUUCGGACCUCACGCUAUCAGAUGAGCCUAGGUCGGAUUAGCUAGUUGGUGGGGUAAAGGCCUACCAAGGCGACGAUCCGUAACUGGUCUGAGAGGAUGAUCAGUCACACUGGAACUGAGACACGGUCCAGACUCCUACGGGAGGCAGCAGUGGGGAAUAUUGGACAAUGGGCGAAAGCCUGAUCCAGCCAUGCCGCGUGUGUGAAGAAGGUCUUCGGAUUGUAAAGCACUUUAAGUUGGGAGGAAGGGCAGUAAGUUAAUACCUUGCUGUUUUGACGUUACCAACAGAAUAAGCACCGGCUAACUUCGU